GGGCCGAUAGUGCAAUGGUAACACGCAUCGUUCGCAACGAUGAGACUGGGGGUCCGAUUCCCCCUCGGUCCA
Molecule: transfer RNA, 72 nt
Filed under: archaeon
Lineage: Archaea
Description: tRNA-Ala
Rfam family: tRNA
About the family: Transfer RNA (tRNA) molecules are approximately 80 nucleotides in length. Their secondary structure includes four short double-helical elements and three loops (D, anti-codon, and T loops).
Source: RNAcentral